RNAcentral lists this ribosomal RNA (315 nucleotides) under uncultured eukaryote. RNAcentral describes it as "partial 18S ribosomal RNA". It matches the Rfam family "Eukaryotic small subunit ribosomal RNA", at positions 1470 to 1796 of the family's 1831-position model. The record is from RNAcentral.
CCCUUAGACGUUCUGGGCCGCACGCGCGCUACACUGACCGGUGCAACAAGCAUCCGUCCUUGGCCGACAGACCCGGGCAAUCUUUGAACGCCGGUCGUGAUGGGGAUAGACUUUUGCAAUUUUUGGUCUUCAACGAGGAAUUCCUAGUAAACGCAAGUCAUCAACUUGCAUUGAUUACGUCCCUGCCCUUUGUACACACCGCCCGUCGCACCUACCGAUUGAAUGGUCCGGUGAAGCCUCCGGAUUGGCGCGCACCUCGGUGCCGCCGAGAAGUUGGCUAAACCUUACCAUUUAGAGGAAGGUGAAGUCGUAACA